This 2922-nucleotide ribosomal RNA is filed under the name Escherichia coli. Its description in RNAcentral is "23S ribosomal RNA". It matches the Rfam family "Bacterial large subunit ribosomal RNA". Lineage: Bacteria; Pseudomonadati; Pseudomonadota; Gammaproteobacteria; Enterobacterales; Enterobacteriaceae. The record is from RNAcentral.
GGGUUGUGAGGUUAAGCGACUAAGCGUACACGGUGGAUGCCCUGGCAGUCAGAGGCGAUGAAGGACGUGCUAAUCUGCGAUAAGCGUCGGUGAGGUGAUAUGAACCGUUAUAACCGGCGAUUUCCGAAUGGGGAAACCCAGUGUGUUUCGACACACUAUCAUUAACUGAAUCCAUAGGUUAAUGAGGCGAACCGGGGGAACUGAAACAUCUAAGUACCCCGAGGAAAAGAAAUCAACCGAGAUUCCCCCAGUAGCGGCGAGCGAACGGGGAGGAGCCCAGAGCCUGAAUCAGUGUGUGUGUUAGUGGAAGCGUCUGGAAAGGCGCGCGAUACAGGGUGACAGCCCCGUACACAAAAAUGCACAUGCUGUGAGCUCGAUGAGUAGGGCGGGACACGUGGUAUCCUGUCUGAAUAUGGGGGGACCAUCCUCCAAGGCUAAAUACUCCUGACUGACCGAUAGUGAACCAGUACCGUGAGGGAAAGGCGAAAAGAACCCCGGCGAGGGGAGUGAAAAAGAACCUGAAACCGUGUACGUACAAGCAGUGGGAGCCUCUUAAUGGGGUGACUGCGUACCUUUUGUAUAAUGGGUCAGCGACUUAUAUUCUGUAGCAAGGUUAACCGAAUAGGGGAGCCGAAGGGAAACCGAGUCUUAACUGGGCGUUAAGUUGCAGGGUAUAGACCCGAAACCCGGUGAUCUAGCCAUGGGCAGGUUGAAGGUUGGGUAACACUAACUGGAGGACCGAACCGACUAAUGUUGAAAAAUUAGCGGAUGACUUGUGGCUGGGGGUGAAAGGCCAAUCAAACCGGGAGAUAGCUGGUUCUCCCCGAAAGCUAUUUAGGUAGCGCCUCGUGAAUUCAUCUCCGGGGGUAGAGCACUGUUUCGGCAAGGGGGUCAUCCCGACUUACCAACCCGAUGCAAACUGCGAAUACCGGAGAAUGUUAUCACGGGAGACACACGGCGGGUGCUAACGUCCGUCGUGAAGAGGGAAACAACCCAGACCGCCAGCUAAGGUCCCAAAGUCAUGGUUAAGUGGGAAACGAUGUGGGAAGGCCCAGACAGCCGGAUGUUGGCUUAGAAGCAGCCAUCAUUUAAAGAAAGCGUAAUAGCUCACUGGUCGAGUCGGCCUGCGCGGAAGAUGUAACGGGGCUAAACCAUGCACCGAAGCUGCGGCAGCGACACUAUGUGUUGUUGGGUAGGGGAGCGUUCUGUAAGCCUGUGAAGGUGUGCUGUGAGGCAUGCUGGAGGUAUCAGAAGUGCGAAUGCUGACAUAAGUAACGAUAAAGCGGGUGAAAAGCCCGCUCGCCGGAAGACCAAGGGUUCCUGUCCAACGUUAAUCGGGGCAGGGUGAGUCGACCCCUAAGGCGAGGCCGAAAGGCGUAGUCGAUGGGAAACAGGUUAAUAUUCCUGUACUUGGUGUUACUGCGAAGGGGGGACGGAGAAGGCUAUGUUGGCCGGGCGACGGUUGUCCCGGUUUAAGCGUGUAGGCUGGUUUUCCAGGCAAAUCCGGAAAACCAAGGCUGAGGCGUGAUGACGAGGCACUACGGUGCUGAAGCGACAAAUGCCCUGCUUCCGUGAAAGCCUCUAAGCAUCAGGUAACAUCAAAUCGUACCCCAAACCGACACAGGUGGUCAGGUAGAGAAUACCAAGGCGCUUGAGAGAACUCGGGUGAAGGAACUAGGCAAAAUGGUGCCGUAACUUCGGGAGAAGGCACGCUGAUAUGUAGGUGAAGCGACUUGCUCGUGGAGCUGAAAUCAGUCGAAGAUACCAGCUGGCUGCAACUGUUUAUUAAAAACACAGCACUGUGCAAACACGAAAGUGGACGUAUACGGUGUGACGCCUGCCCGGUGCCGGAAGGUUAAUUGAUGGGGUUAGCGGUAACGCGAAGCUCUUGAUCGAAGCCCCGGUAAACGGCGGCCGUAACUAUAACGGUCCUAAGGUAGCGAAAUUCCUUGUCGGGUAAGUUCCGACCUGCACGAAUGGCGUAAUGAUGGCCGGCUGUCUCCACCCGAGACUCAGUGAAAUUGAACUCGCUGUGAAGAUGCAGUGUACCCGCGGCAAGACGGAAAGACCCCGUGAACCUUUACUAUAGCUUGACACUGAACAUUGAGCCUUGAUGUGUAGGAUAGGUGGGAGGCUUUGAAGUGUGGACGCCAGUCUGCAUGGAGCCGACCUUGAAAUACCACCCUUUAAUGUUUGAUGUUCUAACGUUGGCCCGUAAUCCGGGUUGCGGACAGUGUCUGGUGGGUAGUUUGACUGGGGCGGUCUCCUCCUAAAGAGUAACGGAGGAGCACGAAGGUUGGCUAAUCCUGGUCGGACAUCAGGAGGUUAGUGCAAUGGCAUAAGCCAGCUUGACUGCGAGCGUGACGGCGCGAGCAGGUGCGAAAGCAGGUCAUAGUGAUCCGGUGGUUCUGAAUGGAAGGGCCAUCGCUCAACGGAUAAAAGGUACUCCGGGGAUAACAGGCUGAUACCGCCCAAGAGUUCAUAUCGACGGCGGUGUUUGGCACCUCGAUGUCGGCUCAUCACAUCCUGGGGCUGAAGUAGGUCCCAAGGGUAUGGCUGUUCGCCAUUUAAAGUGGUACGCGAGCUGGGUUUAGAACGUCGUGAGACAGUUCGGUCCCUAUCUGCCGUGGGCGCUGGAGAACUGAGGGGGGCUGCUCCUAGUACGAGAGGACCGGAGUGGACGCAUCACUGGUGUUCGGGUUGUCAUGCCAAUGGCACUGCCCGGUAGCUAAAUGCGGAAGAGAUAAGUGCUGAAAGCAUCUAAGCACGAAACUUGCCCCGAGAUGAGUUCUCCCUGAGACUUAGAGUCUCCUGAAGGAACGUUGAAGACGACGACGUUGAUAGGCCGGGUGUGUAAGCGCAGCGAUGCGUUGAGCUAACCGGUACUAAUGAACCGUGAGGCUUAACCUUACAACGCCGAAG